AAGUCGUAACAAGGUAUCCGUAGGUGAACCUGCGGAUGGAUCAUUCAUGUAUGAGAAAAUGGCCAGCAAUGGCUGUUUUUUUGUUUUGUGCAAUGUGACAUGUGUGUGAAUGUGUGUGUGUGUGCCUUUGGUUUCAUGGGCACAUGCAUCAUUCCUUUUUUUCCUACUCAUUUAUCCUAUUAAACUGAAAACAACCAAAGAACCUUGAAAACUGCCAGCAAUGGAUCCCUCGGUUCUC
RNAcentral lists this unclassified non-coding RNA (238 nucleotides) under fungal sp. Its description in RNAcentral is "partial internal transcribed spacer region". The stretch from base 1 to 46 matches the Rfam family "Eukaryotic small subunit ribosomal RNA", at positions 1786 to 1831 of the family's 1831-position model. The record is from RNAcentral. Lineage: Eukaryota; Fungi.